Molecule: ribosomal RNA, 403 nt
Filed under: uncultured bacterium
Lineage: Bacteria
Description: bacterial SSU rRNA
Rfam family: Bacterial small subunit ribosomal RNA
Source: RNAcentral
UAUUGCACAAUGGGCGCAAGCCUGAUGCAGCCAUGCCGCGUGUGUGAAGAAGGCCUUCGGGUUGUAAAGCACUUUCAGUCAGGAGGAAAGGUUAGUAGUUAAUACCUGCUAGCUGUGACGUUACUGACAGAAGAAGCACCGGCUAACUCCGUGCCAGCAGCCGCGGUAAUACGGAGGGUGCGAGCGUUAAUCGGAAUUACUGGGCGUAAAGCGUACGCAGGCGGUUUGUUAAGCGAGAUGUGAAAGCCCCGGGCUCAACCUGGGAACUGCAUUUCGAACUGGCAAACUAGAGUGUGAUAGAGGGUGGUAGAAUUUCAGGUGUAGCGGUGAAAUGCGUAGAGAUUUGAAGGAAUACCGAUGGCGAAGGCAGCCACCUGGGUCAACACUGACGCUCAUUACGGAG